AGAGUUUGAUCAUGGCUCAGAUUGAACGCUGGCGGCAGGCCUAACACAUGCAAGUCGAACGGUAACAGGAAGCAGCUUGCUGCUUUGCUGACGAGUGGCGGACGGGUGAGUAAUGUCUGGGAAACUGCCUGAUGGAGGGGGAUAACUACUGGAAACGGUGGCUAAUACCGCAUAACGUCGCAAGACCAAAGAGGGGGACCUUCGGGCCUCUUGCCAUCAGAUGUGCCCAGAUGGGAUUAGCUGGUAGGUGGGGUAACGGCUCACCUAGGCGACGAUCCCUAGCUGGUCUGAGAGGAUGACCAGCCACACUGGAACUGAGACACGGUCCAGACUCCUACGGGAGGCAGCAGUGGGGGAAUAUUGCACAAUGGGCGCAAGCCUGAUGCAGCCAUGCCGCGUGUAUGAAGAAGGCCUUCGGGUUGUAAAGUACUUUCAGCGGGGAGGAAGGUGUUGUGGUUAAUAACCGCAGCAAUUGACGUUACCCGCAGAAGAAGCACCGGCUAACUCCGUGCCAGCAGCCGCGGUAAUACGGAGGGUGCAAGCGUUAAUCGGAAUUACUGGGCGUAAAGCGCACGCAGGCGGUCUGUCAAGUCGGAUGUGAAAUCCCCGGGCUCAACCUGGGAACUGCAUUCGAAACUGGCAGGCUUGAGUCUUGUAGAGGGGGGUAGAAUUCCAGGUGUAGCGGUGAAAUGCGUAGAGAUCUGGAGGAAUACCGGUGGCGAAGGCGGCCCCCUGGACAAAGACUGACGCUCAGGUGCGAAAGCGUGGGGAGCAAACAGGAUUAGAUACCCUGGUAGUCCACGCCGUAAACGAUGUCUACUUGGAGGCUGUGCCCUUGAGGCGUGGCUUCCGGAGCUAACGCGUUAAGUAGACCGCCUGGGGAGUACGGCCGCAAGGUUAAAACUCAAAUGAAUUGACGGGGGCCCGCACAAGCGGUGGAGCAUGUGGUUUAAUUCGAUGCAACGCGAAGAACCUUACCUGGUCUUGACAUCCACGGAAGGUCUCAGAGAUGAGACUGUGCCUUCGGGAGCCGUGAGACAGGUGCUGCAUGGCUGUCGUCAGCUCGUGUUGUGAAAUGUUGGGUUAAGUCCCGCAACGAGCGCAACCCUUAUCCUUUGUUGCCAGCGGUCCGGCCGGGAACUCAAAGGAGACUGCCAGUGAUAAACUGGAGGAAGGUGGGGAUGACGUCAAGUCAUCAUGGCCCUUACGACCAGGGCUACACACGUGCUACAAUGGCGCAUACAAAGAGAAGCGACCUCGCGAGAGCAAGCGGACCUCAUAAAGUGCGUCGUAGUCCGGAUUGGAGUCUGCAACUCGACUCCAUGAAGUCGGAAUCGCUAGUAAUCGUGGAUCAGAAUGCCACGGUGAAUACGUUCCCGGGCCUUGUACACACCGCCCGUCACACCAUGGGAGUGGGUUGCAAAAGAAGUAGGUAGCUUAACCUUCGGGAGGGCGCUUACCACUUUGUGAUUCAUGACUGGGGUGAAGUCGUAACAAGGUAACCGUAGGGGAACCUGCGGUUGGAUCACCU
RNAcentral lists this ribosomal RNA (1531 nucleotides) under Salmonella enterica subsp. houtenae. RNAcentral describes it as "bacterial SSU rRNA". It matches the Rfam family "Bacterial small subunit ribosomal RNA". The record is from RNAcentral. Lineage: Bacteria; Pseudomonadati; Pseudomonadota; Gammaproteobacteria; Enterobacterales; Enterobacteriaceae.